Molecule: long non-coding RNA, 1462 nt
Organism: Oncorhynchus tshawytscha (Chinook salmon)
Lineage: Eukaryota; Metazoa; Chordata; Actinopteri; Salmoniformes; Salmonidae
Source: Ensembl
GAACGUUCCCGACUGCUCUCUGUCCUUUUAACGUGGAACGUUCCGUUUGUCCUUUUAACGUGGAACGUUCCCGACUGAUCUCUGUCCUUUUAACGUGGAACGUUCCCGACUGAUCUCUGUCCUUUUAACGUGGAACGUUCCGACUGCUCUCUGUCCUUUUAACGUGGAACGUCCCGACUGAUCUCUGUCCUUUUAACGUGGAACGUCCCGACUGCUCUCUGUCCUUGGAACGUUCCACGUUAAGACACGUUAAAUUGUGUUACAGUAAAGUCUUUAUUAAACUCCUUCCUGCUCCUAAACUACAGAGGAUAUUGGGUCAGACCCCCUCUCUCUCUCAAGCAUGAUGCCUCUCCCAAUAAGUGUUUUGUAAUUUUAUAAAAUACCAGAUUAGUUUAAUCUCCACUGUAAUUUGUAUUUUAUUUCAUGUGUAAAGGUCUAACAUGUCCUGUUCAGGAACUACAUUAGGAGUAGAUUAGGAGUUACUACAUUAGGAGUAGAUUAGGAGUUACUACAUUAGGAGUAGACUACAUUAGGAGUAGACUACAUUAGAGUAGACUACAUUAGGAGUAGAUUACAUUAGGAGUAGAUUAGGAGUAGACUACAUUAGGAGUAGAUUAGGAGUUACUACAUUAGGAGUAGAUUAGGAGUUACUACAUUAGGAGUAGACUACAUUAGGAGUAGAUUACAUUAGGAGUAGAUUACAUUAGGAGUAGAUUAGGAGUAGACUACAUUAGGAGUAGAUUAGGAGUUACUACAUUAGGAGUAGACUACAUUAGGAGUAGACUACAUUAGGAGUAGACUACAUUAGGAGUAGAUUACAUUAGGAGUAGAUUACAUUAGGAGUAGAUUACAUUAGGAGUAGACUACAUUAGAGUAGAUUACAUUAGGAGUAGAUUAGGAGUAGACUACAUUAGAGUAGAUUAGGAGUUACUACAUUAGGAGUAGAUUAGGAGUUACUACAUUAGGAGUAGACUACAUUAGGAGUAGACUACAUUAGGAGUAGAUUACAUUAGGAGUAGAUUACAUUAGGAGUAGAUUAGGAGUAGACUACAUUAGGAGUAGAUUAGGAGUUACUACAUUAGGAGUAGACUACAUUAGGAGUAGAUUACAUUAGGAGUAGAUUACAUUAGGAGUAGAUUGUAAACCACCUAUGCCUGUUUGUUUUUUUAAAAUUAAGAAUUGAUUAAUUUACCUAAUAAUUCACUGUUGGAUAAUAUUCCUAAUUCAUUAUUUAACGGUAGCUAGUAGUAAUUGAUUAUUUAACGGUAGCUAGUAGUAACUGAUUAUUUAACGGUAGCUAGUAGUAACUGAUUAUUUAACGGUAGCUAGUAGUAACUGAUUAUUUAACGGUAGCUAGUAGUAACUGAUUAUUUAAGGCUGCCAGGGUCUCUCUGACCCACACAGACACGGGUGAUCAACUCAUAACGCUGCCCGGGGUCACUCUGACCCACACAGACACGGG